RNAcentral lists this ribosomal RNA (1722 nucleotides) under Acinetobacter parvus NIPH 1103. RNAcentral's name for it is "bacterial LSU rRNA". It matches the Rfam family "Bacterial large subunit ribosomal RNA", at positions 1225 to 2925 of the family's 2925-position model. Lineage: Bacteria; Pseudomonadati; Pseudomonadota; Gammaproteobacteria; Moraxellales; Moraxellaceae. The record is from RNAcentral.
GUGGUAGGGGAGCGUUCUGUAAGCCGAAGAAGGUGUAUUGAGAAGUAUGCUGGAGGUAUCAGAAGUGCGAAUGCUGACGUGAGUAACGACAAAACGGGUGAAAAACCCGUUCGCUGAAAGACCAAGGGUUCCAGUCCAACGUUAAUCGGGGCUGGGUGAGUCGACCCCUAAGGCGAGGCCGAGAGGCGUAGUCGAUGGGAAAUUGGUUAAUAUUCCAAUACUUCUGUGUAAUGCGAUGAGAGGACGGAGAAGGUUAAGUCAGCCUGGCGUUGGUUGUCCAGGUGGAAGACAGUAGGCAUGCAUCUUAGGCAAAUCCGGGGUGCUCUAUGCUGAGAGUCGAUAGCAAGCUGUACUUGUACAGUGAAGUGGCUGAUACCAUGCUUCCAGGAAAAGUCUCUAAGCUUCAGUUACACAGGAAUCGUACCCGAAACCGACACAGGUGGUCAGGUCGAGUAGACCAAAGCGCUUGAGAGAACUCUGCUGAAGGAACUAGGCAAAAUGGUACCGUAACUUCGGGAGAAGGUACGCUGCUGACGGUGAUGGGAUUUGCUCCCUGAGCGGUUGGCAGCCGCAGAAACCAGGCCGCUGCAACUGUUUAUUAAAAACAUAGCACUCUGCAAACACGAAAGUGGACGUAUAGGGUGUGAUGCCUGCCCGGUGCUGGAAGGUUAAUUGAUGGGGUUAGCGUAAGCGAAGCUCUUGAUCGAAGCCCCAGUAAACGGCGGCCGUAACUAUAACGGUCCUAAGGUAGCGAAAUUCCUUGUCGGGUAAGUUCCGACCUGCACGAAUGGCAUAAUGAUGGCGGCGCUGUCUCCAGCAGAGGCUCAGUGAAAUCGAAAUCGCUGUGAAGAUGCAGUGUACCCGCGGCUAGACGGAAAGACCCCGUGAACCUUUACUGCAGCUUGACAUUGAACUUUGACCUUACUUGUGUAGGAUAGGUGGGAGGCUUUGAAGUUGGAACGCUAGUUCCAAUGGAGCCGUCCUUGAAAUACCACCCUGGUAAUGUUGAGGUUCUAACUCUGCCCCGUAAUCCGGGGCGAGGACCAUGUCUGGUGGGUAGUUUGACUGGGGCGGUCUCCUCCUAAAGAGUAACGGAGGAGUACGAAGGUGCGCUCAGCGUGGUCGGAAAUCACGCGUAGAGUAUAAAGGCAAAAGCGCGCUUAACUGCGAGACCCACAAGUCGAGCAGGUACGAAAGUAGGUCUUAGUGAUCCGGUGGUUCUGUAUGGAAGGGCCAUCGCUCAACGGAUAAAAGGUACUCUGGGGAUAACAGGCUGAUACCGCCCAAGAGUUCAUAUCGACGGCGGUGUUUGGCACCUCGAUGUCGGCUCAUCUCAUCCUGGGGCUGAAGCAGGUCCCAAGGGUAUGGCUGUUCGCCAUUUAAAGAGGUACGCGAGCUGGGUUUAGAACGUCGUGAGACAGUUCGGUCCCUAUCUACCGUGGGCGCUGGAAAUUUGAGAGGAUCUGCUCCUAGUACGAGAGGACCAGAGUGGACGAACCUCUGGUGUACCGGUUGUGACGCCAGUCGCAUCGCCGGGUAGCUAUGUUCGGAAGGGAUAACCGCUGAAAGCAUCUAAGCGGGAAGCCUACCUCAAGAUAAGAUUUCCCCAGGACUUCAUGUCCUCUAAAGAGCCGUUCGAGACCAGGACGUUGAUAGGUUGGGUGUGGAAGCACGGUGACGUGUGAAGCUGACCAAUACUAAUUGCUCGUGAGGCUUGACUAU